AAGAAGAUCGGCCUUCAAAUAGCAGUGAAAACCCUAGGUGUGAAACCCUAGGUUCAGACGUCAAUUCAGUCACCAGAAAACCGAGAAACGAUGUCGGAAAUUUACCCAAACACCCACAAGAUGAGAAUCGAACCACCGGAAGACGGUAAACCAGUGAAUCAAAACCACCGAAAACCCUAGAUACCGAUAACUCACCAGAAAUCACCAAAACCGAUCAAAACGUUGUCAAAACGUUGAGGUUAAGAAGAUUCACCCGGAUAUUAUGAUGUAAAACACUUUUGAAGUCUGUCCGAUCAAAAACUGAAUCAUCACAGACCAUUCGAUCUCAGAAAAAUCGUCAAAAAUCGUCAAACAAACGUUCAAAAGUGAUACCGAUAUGCGAACAAACAUGAUCGGAUCGUUGUAAGGCUCUGAUACCAUGUAAAUAUUGAGAUUAAUCGAUGAAAUCAUAGAGAAAUUAGAGAGAGAAAGUAGAGAGAAGGGAGAGAGUUUUUGAGAGAACCGAAGAGUCGGUUAUUGGGAAAAGAGAGAAAAGAU
This 537-nucleotide long non-coding RNA is filed under the name Nicotiana benthamiana. RNAcentral's name for it is "long non-coding RNA (NBEN_LNC039605)". Lineage: Eukaryota; Viridiplantae; Streptophyta; Magnoliopsida; Solanales; Solanaceae. The record is from RNAcentral.